This 465-nucleotide ribosomal RNA is filed under the name uncultured bacterium. RNAcentral describes it as "bacterial SSU rRNA". It matches the Rfam family "Bacterial small subunit ribosomal RNA", at positions 339 to 796 of the family's 1533-position model. The record is from RNAcentral.
CUACGGGAGGCAGCAGUGAGGAAUUUUGGACAAUGGGGGCAACCCUGAUCCAGCAAUGCCGCGUGAGUGAAGAAGGCCUUCGGGUUGUAAAGCUCUUUUGUCAGGGAAGAAACGGUGACCACUAAUACUGGUUACUAAUGACGGUACCUGAAGAAUAAGCACCGGCUAACUACGUGCCAGCAGCCGCGGUAAUACGUAGGGUGCGAGCGUUAAUCGGAAUUACUGGGCGUAAAGCGUGCGCAGGCGGUUAUAUAAGACAGUUGUGAAAUCCCCGGGCUCAACCUGGGAACUGCAAUUGUGACUGUAUGGCUAGAGUGUGUCAGAGGGGGGUGGAAUUCCACGUGUAGCAGUGAAAUGCGUAGAGAUGUGGAGGAACACCGAUGGCGAAGGCAGCCCCCUGGGAUAACACUGACGCUCAUGCACGAAAGCGUGGGGAGCAAACAGGAUUAGAUACCCGAGUAGUCC